AGAUAAAAAUUUAUGAUUUUCAAAAUUUAUUUUUAAUUUAUUUUACAUAUAAAUUUUAGUGUUAAUUUUUAAUUUAUUUUAAUAAUAAUUAUUUUAUUAGUAGUAAUUAAUAUUAAAAAUUUAAGAAAUUAAGAUUUAGUAAUAUUAAAAUUAAUAACAAAUUUUUGUGCCAGCAGUUGCGGUUAUACAAAAAUUAAAAUAAAUUUUUUUAGUUUAUAAUUUAUAAAUAAUUAAAUUUAAAUUAAAUAUUAAAUUAUUAAGUGAAAUUUUAAUUUAAUUAAAAUUUAUUUUUUAUUUUUGAUUUAAUAAAUUUUAAUAUAAACUAGGAUUAGAUACCCUAUUAUUAAAAAUUUAAAUGAAUAAUACUAAAAUAUUAGAUAAUUAAAUAUUAAAACUUAAGUAAUUUGGCGGUAUUUUAGUUCAUUUAGAGGAAUCUGUUUAAUAAUUGAUAAUCCACGAAUAAAUUUACUUAAUUUAAAAUUUUGUAUAUCGUUGUUGUAAAAAUAUUUUUAAAUAAAAAUAAUAUUUUAAAUUUAAAAUUAAAAAUUAAUUCAGAUCAAGAUGCAGAUUAUAAUUAAGAAUAUAAUGGAUUACAAUAAAUUUAUUUAAAAUGAAUGUUAUUUUGUAAUAAAUAUUUGAAAGUGGAUUUAAAUGUAAUUUUAUUUAAUUUAAUAAGAUGAUUGAAAAUUAAAAUAUGUACAUAUUGCCCGUCGCUUUCAUUUAAAAAUUGGAAUAAGUCGUAACAAAGUAGAGGUACUGGAAAGUGUUUCUAGAAAGA
RNAcentral lists this non-coding RNA (778 nucleotides) under Carterocephalus silvicola (northern checquered skipper). Lineage: Eukaryota; Metazoa; Arthropoda; Insecta; Lepidoptera; Hesperiidae. The record is from RNAcentral.